Molecule: small RNA, 348 nt
Filed under: Pan troglodytes (chimpanzee)
Lineage: Eukaryota; Metazoa; Chordata; Mammalia; Primates; Hominidae
Description: processed transcript
Source: RNAcentral
CGGCAACGGCGGCAAGAUGGCGGCGGCGGGAGCCCUGGAACGGAGCUUCGUGGAGCUAAGCGGAGCUGAGCGCGAAAGGCCGAGGCACUUUCGGGAAUUCACAGUCUGCAGCAUUGGGACUGCAAAUGCCGUGGCUGGCGCCGUAAAAUACAGUGAAAGCGCGGGAGGCUUUUACUAUGUGGAGAGUGGCAAGUUGUUCUCCGUGACCAGAAACAGGUUCAUUCAUUGGAGUUGGUAGUUGACAGUCAGAUGCAGUCAAUAUUCACUGACAUUGGAAAAGUUGAUUUCACAGAUCCUUGCAACUAUCAGUUAAUUCCAGCAGUACCUGGAAUAUCUCCUAAUUCCACC